Molecule: ribosomal RNA, 253 nt
Filed under: uncultured bacterium
Lineage: Bacteria
Description: partial 16S ribosomal RNA
Rfam family: Bacterial small subunit ribosomal RNA
Source: RNAcentral
UACGUAGGCAGCAAGCGUUGUUCGGAAUUACUGGGCGUAAAGGGUGUGUAGGCGGUGUUCUAAGUCUGUUGUGAAAUCUCCCGGCUUAACUGGGAGGGUGCGGCGGAAACUGGAAUGCUAGAGGAUGGGAGAGGUAAGCGGAAUUCCUGGUGUAGCGGUGAAAUGCGUAGAUAUCAGGAGGAACACCUGUGGUGUAGACAGCUUACUGGACCAUUUCUGACGCUGAGACACGAAAGCGUGGGUAGCAAACAGG